This is a long non-coding RNA of Solea senegalensis (Senegalese sole), 676 nucleotides long. RefSeq lists it as uncharacterized. Lineage: Eukaryota; Metazoa; Chordata; Actinopteri; Pleuronectiformes; Soleidae. The record is from RefSeq and is a predicted model, not a curated record. The transcript is spliced from 3 exons.
GUCCACAAACAUAGAUGUAGAACUCUCGCGCUGCCUCUUUAUUUCCUGCUCGACUCAUUUCCUGUAAGAGAAAGUGAAAGUAACUAUUCUGUGACUUUGCUUCAGUCGCCAUUUUAACUGCGCAGCACGAGGACAGACUGAAGAGGAGGCUUGCUCUCUGUGCUGUGACAAUGUCACCUGCAGUGACCAGCUUGUGUAAGGGCAGCUGUAGCAUCACCUGUUUCUCCUUCAACACAGCUGCAGCUGUUGUGCUGCGGUGGAAAAACGUGACAACUGUCCUCACUCUGCCGAGGAGUCGGGACGUCUGGUGAACGCCCAUCGCUCUCUGCGCAGCCAGAUUAACGUAUAUGCGGUGAAAAUCCGGCCGCUUCGACAGCAUUGGCAAUGUUUCUGCCGUUAUCUGUUGUCACUUAAAGCACUUACAGCAAAUUGUGUGGGUCUUGUCGACUACACGAUUGCCGUCCUUUAGCUCCACCAUGUAGCCCAAAUGUUGCCAUACUGCUGACUGACAUGAAGAGGGAGGAUCCGCUAUUUCUGGGUUGGUUGCCAUGUUUCCUCACGUUCUUCAACUAGCUCAACUUUUGCAGGCAGGCGUCACAUGAUUCAUUGGAUCUGAACGGGAGGGAUCACUCUGGGAGUUGGAAGGGUUUUCUCUCGUGUGAUCACUGGACUGAAC